RNAcentral lists this ribosomal RNA (497 nucleotides) under uncultured bacterium. RNAcentral describes it as "partial 16S ribosomal RNA". It matches the Rfam family "Bacterial small subunit ribosomal RNA", at positions 28 to 507 of the family's 1533-position model. The record is from RNAcentral.
GAUGAACGCUGGCGGCGUGCCUAAUACAUGCAAGUCGAGCGAACAGACGAGGAGCUUGCUCCUCUGACGUUAGCGGCGGACGGGUGAGUAACACGUGGAUAACCUACCUAUAAGACUGGGAUAACUUCGGGAAACCGGAGCUAAUACCGGAUAAUAUAUUGAACCGCAUGGUUCAAUAGUGAAAGACGGUUCUGCUGUCACUUAUAGAGGGAUCCGCGCCGCAUUAGCUAGUUGGUAAGGUAACGGCUUACCAAGGCGACGAUGCGUAGCCGACCUGAGAGGGUGAUCGGCCACACUGGAACUGAGACACGGUCCAGACUCCUACGGGAGGCAGCAGUAGGGAAUCUUCCGCAAAGGGCGAAAGCUUGACGGAGCCACGCCGCGUGAGUGAUGAAGGUCUUCGGAUCGUAAAACUCUGUUAUUAGGGAAGAACAAAUGUGUAAGUAACUAUGCACGUCUUGACGGUACCUAAUCAGAAAGCCACGGCUAACUACGUG